UACGUAGGUGACCAGCGUUGUCCGGAUUUACUGGGCGUAAAGAGCGCGCAGGCGGUCGUUCAAGUCGAGUGUGAAAGCCCCCCGGCUCAACUGGGGAGGGUCACUCGAUACUGAUCGACUGGAAGGCAGGAGAGGGAAGCGGAAUUCCCGGUGUAGUGGUGAAAUGCGUAGAUAUCGGGAGGAAACACCAGUGGCGAAGGCGGCUCACUGGACCGGUACUGACGCUGAGGCGCGAAAGCGUGGGGAGCAAACGGG
This 255-nucleotide ribosomal RNA is filed under the name uncultured bacterium. RNAcentral describes it as "partial 16S ribosomal RNA". It matches the Rfam family "Bacterial small subunit ribosomal RNA", at positions 524 to 776 of the family's 1533-position model. The record is from RNAcentral.